GUCGGGUGUGGUGAUGGGCACCUGUAAUCCCAGCUACUCAGGAGGCUGAGGCAGGGGAAUUGCUUGAACCCGGGAGGCCGAGGCUGCAGUGAGUGAAGAUCAUGCCACUGUACUCCAGCCUGGGUGACAGAGUGAGACUCUGUCUCAA
This 148-nucleotide non-coding RNA is filed under the name Gorilla gorilla gorilla (western lowland gorilla). Lineage: Eukaryota; Metazoa; Chordata; Mammalia; Primates; Hominidae. The record is from Rfam by way of RNAcentral.